ACGGGUGAGUAACACGUGGGCAAUCUGCCCUGCACUCUGGGACAAGCCCUGGAAACGGGGUCUAAUACCGGAUACGACCUUCCUCCGCAUGGGGGUUGGUGGAAAGCUCCGGCGGUGCAGGAUGAGCCCGCGGCCUAUCAGCUUGUUGGUGGGGUAAUGGCCUACCAAGGCGACGACGGGUAGCCGGCCUGAGAGGGCGACCGGCCACACUGGGACUGAGACACGGCCCAGACUCCUACGGGAGGCAGCAGUGGGGAAUAUUGCACAAUGGGCGAAAGCCUGAUGCAGCGACGCCGCGUGAGGGAUGACGGCCUUCGGGUCGUAAACCUCUUUCAGCAGGGAAGAAGCGCAAGUGACGGUACCUGCAGAAGAAGCACCGGCUAACUACGUGCCAGCAGCCGCGGUAAUACGUAGGGUGCGAGCGUUGUCCGGAAUUAUUGGGCGUAAAGAGCUCGUAGGCGGCCUGUCGCGUCGGAUGUGAAAGCCCGGGGCUUAACCCCGGGUCUGCAUUCGAUACGGGCAGGCUAGAGUGUGGUAGGGGAAAUCGGAAUUCCUGGUGUAGCGGUGAAAUGCGCAGA
This 578-nucleotide ribosomal RNA is filed under the name uncultured bacterium. RNAcentral's name for it is "bacterial SSU rRNA". It matches the Rfam family "Bacterial small subunit ribosomal RNA", at positions 102 to 694 of the family's 1533-position model. The record is from RNAcentral.